GACGAACGCUGGCGGCGUGCUUAACACAUGCAAGUCGAACGGAAGGGCCCUGCUUUUGUGGGGUGCUCGAGUGGCGAACGGGUGAGUAACACGUGAGUAACCUGCCCUUGACUUUGGGAUAACUUCAGGAAACUGGGGCUAAUACCGGAUAGGAGCUCCUGCUGCAUGGUGGGGGUUGGAAAGUUUCGGCGGUUGGGGAUGGACUCGCGGCUUAUCAGCUUGUUGGUGGGGUAGUGGCUUACCAAGGCUUUGACGGGUAGCCGGCCUGAGAGGGUGACCGGCCACAUUGGGACUGAGAUACGGCCCAGACUCCUACGGGAGGCAGCAGUGGGGAAUAUUGCACAAUGGGCGGAAGCCUGAUGCAGCAGCGCCGCGUGCGGGAUGACGGCCUUCGGGUUGUAAACCGCUUUCGCCUGUGACGAAGCGUGAGUGACGGUAAUGGGUAAAGAAGCACCGGCUAACUACGUG
This 468-nucleotide ribosomal RNA is filed under the name uncultured bacterium. RNAcentral describes it as "partial 16S ribosomal RNA". It matches the Rfam family "Bacterial small subunit ribosomal RNA", at positions 28 to 507 of the family's 1533-position model. The record is from RNAcentral.